CAGUAGCCGCGGUAAUACGUAGGGUGCGAGCGUUAAUCGGAAUUACUGGGCGUAAAGCGUGCGCAGGCGGUUCGCUAAGACAGAUGUGAAAUCCCCGGGCUUAACCUGGGAACUGCAUUUGUGACUGGCGAGCUAGAGUAUGGCAGAGGGGGGUAGAAUUCCACGUGUAGCAGUGAAAUGCGUAGAGAUGUGGAGGAAUACCGAUGGCGAAGGCAGCCCCCUGGGCCAAUACUGACGCUCAUGCACGAAAGCGUGGGGAGCAAACAGGAUUAGAUACCCCAGUAGUCCCUGUCUCUUAUAC
RNAcentral lists this ribosomal RNA (301 nucleotides) under uncultured bacterium. RNAcentral describes it as "partial 16S ribosomal RNA". It matches the Rfam family "Bacterial small subunit ribosomal RNA", at positions 509 to 807 of the family's 1533-position model. The record is from RNAcentral.